This 497-nucleotide ribosomal RNA is filed under the name uncultured bacterium. Its description in RNAcentral is "partial 16S ribosomal RNA". It matches the Rfam family "Bacterial small subunit ribosomal RNA", at positions 28 to 507 of the family's 1533-position model. The record is from RNAcentral.
GAUGAACGCUGGCGGCGUGCCUAAUACAUGCAAGUCGAGCGAACAGACGAGGAGCUUGCUCCUCUGACGUUAGCGGCGGACGGGUGAGUAACACGUGGAUAACCUACCUAUAAGACUGGGAUAACUUCGGGAAACCGGAGCUAAUACCGGAUAACAUGUUGAACCGCAUGGUUCAACAGUGAAAGACGGUCUUGCUGUCACUUAUAGAUGGAUCCGCGCCGCAUUAGCUAGUUGGUAAGGUAACGGCUUACCAAGGCAACGAUGCGUAGCCGACCUGAGAGGGUGAUAGGCCACACUGGAACUGAGACACGGUCAAGACUCCUACGGGAGGCAGCAGUAGGGAAUCUUCCGCAAUGGGCGAAAGCCUGACGGAGCAACGCCGCGUGAGUGAAGAAGGUCUUCGGAUCGUAAAACUCUGUUAUUAGGGAAGAACAAAUGUGUAAGUAACUAUGCACGUCUUGACGGUACCUAAUCAGAAAGCCACGGCUAACUACGUG